CCUACGGGUGGCAGCAGUGGGGAAUAUUGGGCAAUGGGCGCAAGCCUGACCCAGCAACGCCGCGUGAAGGAAGAAGGCCCUCGGGUUGUAAACUUCUUUCGUCAGGGACGAAGAAAGUGACGGUACCUGACGAAUAAGCUACGGCUAACUACGUGUCAGCAGCCGCGGUAAUACGUAGGUGGCAAGCGUUAUCCGGAUUUACUGGGUGUAAAGGGCGUGUAGGCGGGAGUGCAAGUCAGAUGUGAAAUUCCAGGGCUGAACCCUGGACCUGCAUUUGAAACUGGAGUGCUUGAGUGAUGGAGAGGCGGGCGGAAUUCCGUGUGUAGCGGUGAAAUGCGUAGAUAUGCGGAGGAACACCGGUGGCGAAGGCGGCCUGCUGGACAUUAACUGACGCUGAGGCGCGAAAGCGUGGGGAGCAAACAGGAUUAGAUACCCGGGUAGUC
RNAcentral lists this ribosomal RNA (443 nucleotides) under uncultured bacterium. RNAcentral's name for it is "partial 16S ribosomal RNA". It matches the Rfam family "Bacterial small subunit ribosomal RNA", at positions 338 to 795 of the family's 1533-position model. The record is from RNAcentral.